Molecule: non-coding RNA, 213 nt
Organism: Pelobates cultripes (western spadefoot toad)
Lineage: Eukaryota; Metazoa; Chordata; Amphibia; Anura; Pelobatidae
Source: the annotation of a GenBank genome assembly
CUUGGAUUUUGGUUGUAGUUUUUAUGCAUGUUUUAUGUAAUUUUAGUUUUUUUUUUCACUUUUCCAGAGCAGUUUAAAAAUAGGGAAUAAAACUGAGGUCUUAUUGUCAGCUGAUCAUAUAAUGGCUUAUCUGAUGAUGCAUUAUGCAAGGGUCAUAGGACCAGACUGUUUUUGGAUAGAUCUUUAUAUCAAAUAGAACUGCUUUGAGUGAAU